CACAACAAAACAAUAGAAGGUGUUCUCCUAUACGUUAUAAGAGAUGUAGUCAGCAUCUCUUAUAUAAACCAAGAGAAGGCUUGCUGAUCGGUUUGGUGAACACCUUGGGACCAUCAGAAGUGAGGACACUCACAAGAUUUGGUAUCAACUGAAAUGCUGACUAUAAGAUAGUAUGUGAUUCUAUCCUUCAUGGUCUUCUCUCUUCGCUCAAAGAUUUGUAAAGAAGGCUUGGAAAAGAAGUCCCUCUUAAAAGUUACUGUUGUAUUUGUUUUUGAUGACCCUUUAUUUAACCAUUAUGAGCAUAUUAUAGUAUACCUGAUUAUAAUUAUAGCUAAAGUUUAUAUACAUAAAAUUACAUUUAUCAGAAAAAUACCCUUACAUGUGACCUUUGUACACAUGGAUCUACGUGAUUGCAUAUCUAUAUUAGUGAAAUUGUGAAAACAUUGUAAAUCUAUGGACACGUUAAUAGCUUUUCAGUUUUAUUUAAA
Long non-coding RNA from Electrophorus electricus (electric eel), 488 nucleotides. RefSeq lists it as uncharacterized. The record is from RefSeq and is a predicted model, not a curated record. Lineage: Eukaryota; Metazoa; Chordata; Actinopteri; Gymnotiformes; Gymnotidae.